CGCCAAUUCUUACCGCGGUAAUAGAACUGCAUAGUUUCUAUCACCGGGUGAAAAUUCGGCUCG
RNAcentral lists this microRNA precursor (63 nucleotides) under Caenorhabditis remanei. RNAcentral's name for it is "microRNA crm-mir-36 precursor". Its record names the gene crm-mir-36. The record is from miRBase by way of RNAcentral. Lineage: Eukaryota; Metazoa; Nematoda; Chromadorea; Rhabditida; Rhabditidae.